Molecule: non-coding RNA, 2164 nt
Organism: Schizosaccharomyces pombe (fission yeast)
Lineage: Eukaryota; Fungi; Ascomycota; Schizosaccharomycetes; Schizosaccharomycetales; Schizosaccharomycetaceae
Source: the annotation of a GenBank genome assembly
UUUUAAUUCACUUCGCGAAGGUAGCGGCCACAAUUAAAGGAAAUAAGAGACUCACCUCCCCGUAAACCUACAGACAUCAAAAGUUAGAAUUUGCUAUAUACAAGUAUAGCGUCACAUACCUUUACUUUCUUAGCAUCGCCACGAAUUUUUCCCCAACUGACAGCUUCAUCGGGUCGAGCACCAGCAUCACUACCAUCAAAUUCGUUGGCAGAAUUGAUGUAGACGCUCCAUUCUGCCCCAUUGCGCAUUAAGUUUGCAUUGCAAAUAUGAUGCUUGACAACACCACCCCCAAGAAUGAUGAUUCCAGACUUGUUGGCACGAACAGCAUGAGUAUUCAUGUUUCGGAUAUCUGCGACAAUAUCCAAAACUAAUGGACGAGGAGUCGCUUUGUAAGUAUGGAAAUAAAGCAUAUCACCAAUCGAUCCAUCUGUAAGAGCAGGACUAUAGAUAGGUAUAUUAUUCUUAUAUGCCCAAUACAAAACACUAGACUCAUCAUUGAUUUCUUUACCCAGACGACGGAUAAAGGAUGAAGGAGUCCAAUGAGUACCAAGAGUCUCUUGUUCCUCGACCAUUUUAUUAAGGAUGGGAAAUAUCCAUUCCUCAAAACGGCAAUAAUUAUCGUUUGGAACAAUCAAGUUACCGAUACGGUUCAAACCUUUGGCACGAAGAUUUUUCCCAUCUAAAUGAAAGUCGCCAACAUAAGUAGGGCCAAGACACUUAAUUAUGUCUUCUUCAACACCUCCAGCUGUUGUAACAAUAACAUCUACACAUUUGUGCUGGACCAGAUAGCGCAAAACUUCACGGACGCCAGAAGAUAUCAAGUUACUGGUGUAACCAAGGAAAAUGGUAGCACGAUCACUUUUCUCUUCGGGGGGAUUGGGAUCGCGCCAAUUUCUCUGUAACAAUUAGUAUUGCUCAAUCGAUAUGUGCCUAGCAGGCAUAAAGUAAGUCAUAUUUUUUCACAAUUUUAACAGAAUAGCGUAUGAAAGCUAAAAGAAUAUCAAGAAAAAAAAACUACAUUUUAAACAUACCAUCUCAUUUAUGAUAGUCACCGCAUCAUGAAGGUUGGUAGCCUGGAAUCCAAUUUUUCCAUACGACUCGACCAACUCUUCUACUGUUAUGCCAGGUCCUCCAGCCUUCUUUCUCUCAUCAUACUUGUUAAAAUCUGGUCCGACGACUUCAGUUGUCAAAUCACUAGGCUUUGAAGAGGCUACAAAAACGGCGUCCUUUGCUAGAGAUUCAUCCAUGGUUUACGAUAAUUAUCGGUAUGGUAAAUUUCUGAAUAAUUCCAAAAAAAAAAAAAAGCUUUUUAAUAUAUGUAAAUGAGUCUAUUUAAUGAAAGAAAAUCAAAUAUUAUAAGACUCAAUUCCCUUAGUGUAGAGGAGAAAAAUUCUAACAACACGAAUGAUUUAAGCAACAAUUUUGAUUUUUAUAAUUUAUCAAAAAACCCGAGAGAAGAUGACAAUUAUUCUAAUUACUCUCUCAAAAUAUGAAAAUUUUUAAACAAAAGGCUAAAAAAAUGAAGAAAAAAGUUUCCAAAGCAGUUUUCGUUGACUUUUUACGAUAUACGUUCCGGGUACUGGGUUUCGUAGAAAAUCGAUCUACAUGAAUUGCCUGACUUGAAUGAAAAUUUCCAUCACUAAAAUAAAUUUUGGAUUGAUGCGAUUAAAUUACUUGAUCGGAUGCCGACCAAAAGAGUUGAAUACAUGAUUUCAAAUGACUAUAAGCGAAAAUGCUAGGGGGCUUUACAUUACAAGUAUAAGGAAUUAUAACUGGUUUAAAUCUAAGUACUUAAAAAAAUUUUAAAGCAACUUUCAAAGAUUUAUUCAUCUGUUUAAAAAUAUUUCAGCAAUCUAUCGGAAAAACAAGAUAGUCAAGUCCAAGAAACCCACAAAAAAAUGAGUUAGCUGACACUAGGUAUUAAAACAUUGCACCAAAUCAGCAGGCAACUGGAGUUAAGUAAUUUUGAUCUUAAAGCAAUGAAUUUUUCAUAAAAGUUUUUGAGAAUACCAGAUGGUAAAUUCAAGAGAUAUGUGGCGAACAGAGAUAAGAGUAGUAUAGAAACAAUUAAGCUUGAUUACAGGUACCGAGUUCACCAAAUCAACUCACGAUUACAGUUGAGGAUAGUAAAAUAUUAGAAAGAGCAUAUGAAAAUUACACAUGG